AUUGAACGCUGGCGGCAUGCCUUACACAUGCAAGUCGAACGGCAGCACGGGUGCUUGCACCUGGUGGCGAGUGGCGAACGGGUGAGUAAUACAUCGGAACAUGUCCUGUAGUGGGGGAUAGCCCGGCGAAAGCCGGAUUAAUACCGCAUACGAUCUACGGAUGAAAGCGGGGGACCUUCGGGCCUCGCGCUAUAGGGUUGGCCGAUAGCUGAUUAGCUAGUUGGUGGGGUAAAGGCCUACCAAGGCGUCGAUCAGUAGCUGGUCUGAGAGGACGACCAGCCACACUGGGACUGAGACACGGCCCAGACUCCUACGGGAGGCAGCAGUGGGGAAUUUUGGACAAUGGGCGAAAGCCUGAUCCAGCAAUGCCGCGUGUGUGAAGAAGGCCUUCGGGUUGUAAAGCACUUUUGUCCGGAAAGAAAUCCUUGGCUCUAAUACAGUCGGGGGAUGACGGUACCGGAAGAAUAAGCACCGGCUAACUACGUG
RNAcentral lists this ribosomal RNA (486 nucleotides) under uncultured bacterium. RNAcentral describes it as "partial 16S ribosomal RNA". It matches the Rfam family "Bacterial small subunit ribosomal RNA", at positions 30 to 507 of the family's 1533-position model. The record is from RNAcentral.